UACGGAGGGUGCAAGCGUUGUCCGGAUUUAUUGGGUUUAAAGGGUGCGUAGGCGGCUUGAUAAGUCCGUGGUGAAAGCCAACAGCUCAACUGUUGAACUGCCAUGGAUACUGUCAGGCUUGAGUACAGACGAGGUAGGCGGAAUGGAUAGUGUAGCGGUGAAAUGCAUAGAUACUAUCCAGAACACCGAUUGCGAAGGCAGCUUACUAGACUGUAACUGACGCUGAGGCACGAAAGCGUGGGGGAGCGAACAGG
Molecule: ribosomal RNA, 254 nt
Filed under: uncultured bacterium
Lineage: Bacteria
Description: partial 16S ribosomal RNA
Rfam family: Bacterial small subunit ribosomal RNA
Source: RNAcentral